GGAAUAUGAAGGGAGAAUGAAACAAAACUGCUCCGCUCAGGGAACUUAGAAAUUGAAAAGGCAAGGCACAGGCUGGAAGAAAAUAUUUGAAAAAGAUUUAUGUGACAAAGAACUUCUUUCUGGAUUAUACAAAAUAUUUUUAGAUAUUCUUACAACUCUAAAAUAAGAUAACUCCUUAAAAAUGUGAAUUCUACCAAAGGAGAGAUAAAGAUGACAAAUACAGUCAAAGAUGCUGAAAAUCGCUUAUUUAUUAUUGGGAAGUUACAAGCUACAGCAUAAUGAGAUACCACUACAACCUACUAAACUGACUAAAAUUAAUCAGACUAACCAGGUGUUGGCAAGAAACAGGGACACUGAGACUCUCACACUGCUGGAAGGAAUGUAAAAUGCUAAAAUUUCUUUGGAAACGAGUUCAGUAACUUUUUAAACAGUUGAAAAUAGACCUAUCAUGCAAACCAGCAACCCCACUUCUAGGUAUUUAUCCAAGGAAAAUGACAACAUAUGCCCACACAAAGACUUGUGCACAAAUGACUGUAGCAGCUUUGUGGUAAUUGCUAAAAACUAGAAACUUGUCAAGUGUCCAACAGCUAAGGAAAUUGAGACAAACUACAUAAGUUGCUGAAAAAUCACAGCAAAUAAUGAGCUGAGGAAGAGACUCAAAUCUAUCCGAACUGCUUGACUUUUGAUCCUGAGCUUAUGUGCAUCCAGUGGGCAAGUGAGGGUGCAUGGGUUUGUGAAGACUCCAGCAGUAUGAUUGGGGACACAGGGUCUCACUAUGUUGCCCAGGCUGGUAUCGAACUCCUGGGCUCAAGUGAUCCUCCUGCCUCAGCCUCCCAAAAUGCUGGGAUUACAGGCAUGAACCACUCUACCCAGCCCCUCCUUGCUUAUUCAUAAUGAAACAAUGCUUUGUAAACCAUGAAAGUGCUAUAUAAAGAUAUCUUUAAAAUACCAAAGAAGUCCCUGUAAUUAGAUAUUCUAAUGCUAGCUACUGUAACAAAUAAACCUCAGUAUGACAGCGGCUUAACCCUGUAGAAGUUUACUUCUUGUUUGCAAAUAAAUCCCGUGCACUU
RNAcentral lists this non-coding RNA (1070 nucleotides) under Pongo abelii (Sumatran orangutan). The record is from RNAcentral. Lineage: Eukaryota; Metazoa; Chordata; Mammalia; Primates; Hominidae.